Long non-coding RNA from Onychostruthus taczanowskii (white-rumped snowfinch), 518 nucleotides. RefSeq lists it as uncharacterized. The transcript has 3 exons. The record is from RefSeq and is a predicted model, not a curated record. Lineage: Eukaryota; Metazoa; Chordata; Aves; Passeriformes; Passeridae.
AUGGAUCCCAAAGCUGCCGGGGAAGCGCCCCGUGAAGCCGCAGGAGUCCUGGCACAGGCCUGAGCCGCCCCAGCCCGGCGCGGCCUUCCCCCUCAGCUCCCGCCCGAGCCCUUCGGGCCGAAAGGGCUCCUGAGGGGACAGCCCAGGGUGGGAACCCGAGCACGGGAGAGCUCCAGCGCCGCUCUAGCAGAGACAGCCACAUCAAGAGUUAACCCGAAAGUGAAACUGAACGAGCGGUUUCAGAAAAUUCUGGAAUAUCACCAUCCACCCCUCCCCUCCCUGUCGGGAUAUAUUCGGCCGUUUCCCUUCCUCCCUCCGAGCACAACAGACACAACAGAGGCUGGUGGCGAGGGGAGCCGCGGUCCCACGGGACUGGGAUUAGAGCAGACUCAUCGCAGCUCUAGCUCUGCACAGCCGAUCAUGCUUCCAGUUCCAGUCAUCCUUGAAAUUAUAAAGGUGGUUGGAUUCAUUGCAGUUAUCUCAGGAAUUACAGUUAUAGGUGAGAGUCUGGCACAGGA